GUUUUAUAGAUAAUGUUGUAGAAAUAGUUAUCAUUUCUUCCUUAAAUAUUUGGUAGACCAAACAAGCUUUCAAGGUCCAUUUAUAAGAGAAUGUAGGCUAGUCAAGCUUACAAGACUCCAGACAUCGAAAUGAGAUUCUGCAUGUGGCAAUCUGCCUUUAUUU
Molecule: small nuclear RNA, 163 nt
Filed under: Sus scrofa (pig)
Lineage: Eukaryota; Metazoa; Chordata; Mammalia; Artiodactyla; Suidae
Description: 7SK RNA
Rfam family: 7SK RNA
About the family: 7SK was discovered as an abundant small nuclear RNA in the mid-70s but a possible function has only recently been suggested.
Source: Rfam by way of RNAcentral